RNAcentral lists this ribosomal RNA (338 nucleotides) under uncultured bacterium. RNAcentral describes it as "bacterial SSU rRNA". It matches the Rfam family "Bacterial small subunit ribosomal RNA", at positions 340 to 695 of the family's 1533-position model. The record is from RNAcentral.
UACGGGAGGCAGCAGUGGGGAAUAUUGGACAAUGGGCGCAAGCCUGAUCCAGCCAUGCCGCGUGAGUGAAGAAGGCCCUAGGGUUGUAAAGCUCUUUCAAAGGUGAAGAUAAUGGCGGUAACCGUAGAAGAAGCCCCGACUAACUUCGUGSCAGCAGCCGCGGUAAUACGAAGGGGGCUAGCGUUGUUCGGAUUUACUGGGCGUAAAGCGCACGUAGGCGGAUCGUUAAGUGAGGGGUGAAAUCCCAGGGCUCAACCCUGGAACUGCCUCUCAUACUGGCGAUCUUGAGUUCGAGAGAGGUGAGUGGAAUUCCGAGUGUAGAGGUGAAAUUCGUAGAU